This 625-nucleotide ribosomal RNA is filed under the name Colletotrichum circinans. Its description in RNAcentral is "eukaryotic LSU rRNA". It matches the Rfam family "Eukaryotic large subunit ribosomal RNA", at positions 1 to 648 of the family's 3401-position model. Lineage: Eukaryota; Fungi; Ascomycota; Sordariomycetes; Glomerellales; Glomerellaceae. RNAcentral also lists the same sequence under 1 other name. The record is from RNAcentral.
GUUGACCUCGGAUCAGGUAGGAAUACCCGCUGAACUUAAGCAUAUCAAUAAGCGGAGGAAAAGAAACCAACAGGGAUUGCCCCAGUAACGGCGAGUGAAGCGGCAACAGCUCAAAUUUGAAAUCUGGCCCCAGGCCCGAGUUGUAAUUUGCAGAGGAUGCUUUUGGCGCGGUGCCUUCCGAGUUCCCUGGAACGGGACGCCAUAGAGGGUGAGAGCCCCGUACGGUUGGACACCAAGCCUUUGUAAAGCUCCUUCGACGAGUCGAGUAGUUUGGGAAUGCUGCUCUAAAUGGGAGGUAUAUUUCUUCUAAAGCUAAAUAUAGGCCAGAGACCGAUAGCGCACAAGUAGAGUGAUCGAAAGAUGAAAAGCACUUUGAAAAGAGGGUUAAACAGCACGUGAAAUUGUUGAAAGGGAAGCGCUUGUGACCAGACUUGCGUCCGGUGAAUCACCCAGCUCUCGCGGCUGGGGCACUUUGCCGGCACAGGCCAGCAUCAGCUCGCUGUCGGGGACAAAAGCUUCGGGAACGUAGCUCUCUUCGGGGAGUGUUAUAGCCCGUUGCAUAAUACCCUUCGGUGGGCUGAGGUACGCGCUCCGCAAGGAUGCUGGCGUAAUGGUCAUCAGCGAC